UACGGAGGAUGCAAGCGUUUAUCCGGAAUGAUUGGGCGUAAAGCGUCCGCAGGUGGCGAUGUAAGUCUGCUGUUAAAGAGUGAGGCUCAACCUCAUAAGAGCAGUGGAAACUACAUAGCUAGGAGUACGUUCGGGGCAGAGGGAAUUCCUGGUGUAGCGGUGAAAUGCGUAGAGAUCAGGAAGAACACCAGUGGCGAAGGCGGCAUCCUGGACCGGCAUUGGACGCGUGAGGCGCGGAAAGCCCAGGGGAGCAAACGGG
RNAcentral lists this ribosomal RNA (259 nucleotides) under uncultured bacterium. RNAcentral describes it as "partial 16S ribosomal RNA". It matches the Rfam family "Bacterial small subunit ribosomal RNA", at positions 524 to 776 of the family's 1533-position model. The record is from RNAcentral.